AGAAUCAACGCUGGCGGCGUGCCUCAGACAUGCAAGUCGAACGCGAAAGUCCCCUUCGGGGAUGAGUAGAGUGGCGCACGGGUGAGUAACACGUAGGUAAUCUACCUUCGGAUGGGGAAUAACAAUCGGAAACGGUUGCUAAUACCGCAUAAUGCAGCGGCACCUAAUGGUGACAGUUGUUAAAGCGGGGGAUCGAAAGACCUCGCGUCUGAAGAGGAGCCUGCGGCGGAUUAGCUAGUUGGUAAGGUAAUGGCUUACCAAGGCUACGAUCC
This 272-nucleotide ribosomal RNA is filed under the name uncultured soil bacterium. RNAcentral's name for it is "partial 16S ribosomal RNA". It matches the Rfam family "Bacterial small subunit ribosomal RNA", at positions 26 to 282 of the family's 1533-position model. The record is from RNAcentral.